UUGGAGGGCAAGUCUGGUGCCAGCAGCCGCGGUAAUUCCAGCUCCAAUAGCGUAUAUUAAAGUUGUUGCAGUUAAAAAGCUCGUAGUUGAAUUUCGGGGUUAGUAGGUUGGUCAUGCCUCAGGUAUGUACUGAUCUCACUGAUUCCUCCUUCCUGAUGAACCGUAAUGCCAUUAAUUUGGUGUUGCGGGGAAGCUGGACUGUUACUUUGAAAAAAUUAGAGUGUUUAAAGCAGGCUAACGCUUGAAUACAUUAGCAUGGAAUAAUGAAAUAGGACGUUCGAUCCUAUUUUGUUGGUUUCUAGGAUUGACGUAAUGAUUAAUAGGGAUAGUUGGGGGCAUUAGUAUUCAAUUGUCAGAGGUGAAAUUCUUGGAUUUAUUGAAGACUAACUACUGCGAAAGCAUUUGCCAAGGAUGUUUUCAUUAAUCAAGAACGAAAGUUAGGGGAUCGAAGACGAUCAGAUACCGUCGUAGUCUUAACCAUAAACUAUGCCGACUAGGGAUCGGAUGAUGUUAAUUUUAUAAUGACUCAUUCGGCGCCUUACGGGAAAC
RNAcentral lists this ribosomal RNA (549 nucleotides) under uncultured Glomus. RNAcentral's name for it is "SSU rRNA". It matches the Rfam family "Eukaryotic small subunit ribosomal RNA", at positions 548 to 1098 of the family's 1831-position model. Lineage: Eukaryota; Fungi; Glomeromycota; Glomeromycetes; Glomerales; Glomeraceae. The record is from RNAcentral.